CACUGCUGAGGAGUCCCAUACUAGGACGAAACGGCCGUCCAGCGC
Molecule: non-coding RNA, 45 nt
Organism: Schistosoma haematobium
Lineage: Eukaryota; Metazoa; Platyhelminthes; Trematoda; Strigeidida; Schistosomatidae
Source: Rfam